AACCUCUUCUACAGAAAUUUUUAGAGCAAGUGGUAAAGGGUUUGGUGAUUAGUACCCAAGAUUUUAAGUUCGAAUUCUAGUUGAUUCACAUUUCUAGUUAAGUUUAGUUUUUAAUGAAAUAAAUAAAGCGGGAACGAAACGGGUAACGUGCUACCUAUCUCUCACAAAGAAAAAAAAAGAAAAUAAAAUUAAAAAGAAAAAUAGUGUGUUGCAGAGAGAAAUUAAGGAGGGGAGCGGAUGGAAAAGUACUGAUGGAACGUCUUUGUCGGUCACAUCGUCG
This 280-nucleotide long non-coding RNA is filed under the name Ananas comosus (pineapple). RNAcentral's name for it is "long non-coding RNA (ACOM_LNC041069)". The record is from RNAcentral. Lineage: Eukaryota; Viridiplantae; Streptophyta; Magnoliopsida; Poales; Bromeliaceae.